RNAcentral lists this ribosomal RNA (2286 nucleotides) under Triticum aestivum (bread wheat). RNAcentral's name for it is "partial small subunit ribosomal RNA". Lineage: Eukaryota; Viridiplantae; Streptophyta; Magnoliopsida; Poales; Poaceae. The record is from RNAcentral.
AUGGCCACUGUACUGCUUCUCCUGAUCGUGCUGCAUUUGCUGGUGGCGUCGGCGGCUCAGCGGCAGCUGCCCGUGGCGCGGCCAGGGUGCCGCGACAGGUGCGGCAACAUCACUGUCCCCUACCCCUUCGGCAUCGGCGCCGGCUGCUACCGCGACAGCCAAGACGGCUUCCAGCUCGAGUGCGACGACGACUCCGGCCGCUCUCCUCCUCGGCUCACCGUCGUCCAUUACAACCACCGCCUGGGGGACCUCUCGCUCGCGGCCGGCGAGGCUCGCGCCUACCUCAAAGCGAGGAGGGAGUGCUACUACUCCAAUGGCAGCCUCGCCUAUCGGAACACGAACCACAUGUCCCUCCAAGGCGCCCCCUACCUCUUGUCGUCCACCAAGAACCGCCUGGUCGCGCUCGGCUGCCCCACCCUUGGCUUCUUCGUCGACGGCCAUGGUUCCUACGUCAGCGGCUGUACGUCCUUGUGCCAGCCGUCGGGGAACACCAUGCCGGGCUCGUGCACCGGCCUCAGGUGCUGCCAGAGCGCGAUACCCGCUGGCAUCAACUUCUUCCGGCUUGUCCUGCUCAGCUUCCAGCGAACGGCAGGGACGCCCCGGGGGCAGGAUGACACAAACUCCUUUACCAACAGCUCCACGGCGUGCCGCUACGUGUUCCUCGUCGAGGCGGACUGGUUCAGCUACACAGACAGCGUCUUCCUCAACCGCACCGACGAAUUCAUCGUCCCCCUCGUGCUCGACUGGGCCAUCCGGAACGUCGACAACUGCAGCGCCGCUAGCCAAAACACGACGGACUUCGCCUGCCGAGGCGCUCAUAGCGAGUGCUUCAAUGUCACCAAUGGCAUCGGGUACCGGUGCAACUGCUCCCAGGGCUACCAAGGCAACCCGUACCUCGACGACGGAUGCAUAGACAUCGACGAGUGCCAACUGAAAGACGAAUACCCGUGCUACGGGGUCUGCACAAACACAAUAGGGAACUACACAUGCCAAUGCCCUCCGGGUACUAGUGGAGAUGCCACCAGGAGGGAUGGCUGCCAGCCAGUGGACAAGUUCACCUUAGCUCCGAAAGUCGUUACAGGAGUCAGCGUCGGGGUGUUCUUGUCGGUGUUCAUGUGCUUCUGGCUCUACCUGGGGCUGCAGAAGCGAAAGCUCAUCAAGGCAAAGCAGAGCUUCUUUGAGCACAACGGAGGCGUCAUCCUGCAGCAGCAGAUGCGUUCCUACAGCGGCACCGCCGGAGGUGGUGGUGGCGGGUUCAAGAUAUUCUCCGAGGAAGAGCUCGAGAAGGCGACCAACAACUUCGCUGCCGAUCAGAUCCUCGGGCGGGGCGGCCAUGGCAUCGUGUACAAGGGCGUCCUCGAGGACAAGACGGUGGUGGCCAUCAAGAAGUCCAAAGUGAUGGAGGCGACCGAGACCAAGGAGUUUGCGAGAGAGAUGCUCAUCCUCUCGCAGAUCAACCACCGGAACGUCGUCAAGCUGCACGGCUGCUGCCUCGAGGUGGAGGUGCCAAUGCUGGUGUAUGAGUACGUUUCCAAUGGCACCCUCUACCACUACAUCCAUGGUGGUGAGGGCCUCGACAAUAACAAGGCACUCGAUACCCGCCUUCGGAUAGCGGCGGAGUCUGCGGAGGCGUUGUCGUAUAUGCACUCGUCAGCCUCGCCCCCGAUCCUCCACAGUGAUGUCAAGACGGCGAACAUCCUGCUUGACGAAAACCUCACUGCCAAAGUCACGGAUUUUGGGGCGUCGAAGCUGGCACCAAACGACGAGGUUGAGAUUGCGACAUUGGUGCAGGGAACUUACGGGUACCUGGACCCGGAGUACCUCAUGACAUGCCAGCUGACGGACAAGAGCGACGUGUACAGUUUUGGCGUCGUUCUGCUGGAACUCCUUACAGGGAAGAAGCCGAUCCGCUUCGACGGGCCAGAGGAGGGAAGGAGCCUCGUGUCCGGAUUCAUGACAGCAGCGAAGGUUGGUGGACACUACGAGCUCCUUGACAGCCAGGUGAGAAAUGAGAUGGGGCCUGAGGCAUUGGAAGAAAUCACGCACCUCAUGAUGCGAUGCGUGAGCAUGAGCGGCGAGGAGCGGCCGUCGAUGAAGGAAGUUGCCGAGAGGUUGGAGGCGUUGAGAAGGUACCAGAGGCACCCAUGGGGCCAGGCUGGUGCUGGUGAUCCGGAGGAGGGGCAAAGUUUGCUUGGUAGAGAGCAACAACGUGAUGUGAGUUAUAAGUUCAAACCGCAUGACGUGCUUGAUCUCGAAGAGGGUAGCACAUACACUUUUAGCUUGUAG